GACGAACGCUGGCGGCGUGCUUAACACAUGCAAGUCGAACGGAAAGGCCAGUGCUUGCCCUGGUACUCGAGUGGCGAACGGGUGAGUAACACGUGGGUGAUCUGCCUUGCACUCUGGGAUAAGCUUGGGAAACUGGGUCUAAUACCGGAUAUGAACUGCCUUUAGUGUGGUGGUUGGAAAGUUUUUUCGGUGCAAGAUGAGCUCGCGGCCUAUCAGCUUGUUGGUGGGGUAAUGGCCUACCAAGGCGUCGACGGGUAGCUGGCCUGAGAGGGUGUACGGCCACAUUGGGACUGAGAUACGGCCCAGACUCCUACGGGAGGCAGCAGUGGGGAAUAUUGCACAAUGGGCGGAAGCCUGAUGCAGCGACGCCGCGUGGGGGAUGACGGCCUUCGGGUUGUAAACUCCUUUCGACAGGGACGAAGCGUAAGUGACGGUACCUGUAGAAGAAGCACCGGCUAACUACGUG
This 466-nucleotide ribosomal RNA is filed under the name uncultured bacterium. RNAcentral's name for it is "partial 16S ribosomal RNA". It matches the Rfam family "Bacterial small subunit ribosomal RNA", at positions 28 to 507 of the family's 1533-position model. The record is from RNAcentral.